CCACUCAGGUUUCUCUUCAGAUCGUAUAAAUCUUUCGCCUUUUACUAAAGAUUUCCGUGGAGGGAGCAAUAUGAGUUUCAACCAAUUUUUGAUGCUCUGCUGUAAGGUGGGA
The sequence is a small nuclear RNA, 112 nucleotides long. Its record names the gene U5. It matches the Rfam family "U5 spliceosomal RNA". Rfam says of the family: U5 RNA is a component of both types of known spliceosome. The record is from Ensembl.